RNAcentral lists this ribosomal RNA (497 nucleotides) under uncultured bacterium. Its description in RNAcentral is "partial 16S ribosomal RNA". It matches the Rfam family "Bacterial small subunit ribosomal RNA", at positions 28 to 507 of the family's 1533-position model. The record is from RNAcentral.
GAUGAACGCUGGCGGCGUGCCUAAUACAUGCAAGUCGAGCGAACAGAUGAGGAGCUUGCUCCUCUGACGUUAGCGGCGGACGGGUGAGUAACACGUGGAUAACCUACCUAUAAGACUGGGAUAACUUCGGGAAACCGGAGCUAAUACCGGAUAAUAUAUUGAACCGCAUGGUUCAAUAGUUAAAGACGGUUUUGCUUUCACUUAUAGAUGGAUCCGCGCCGCAUUAGCUCGUUGCUAAGGUAACGGCUUACCAAGGCGACGAUGCGUAUCCGACGUGAGAUGGUGAUCGGCCACACUGGAACUGAGACACGGUCCAGACGCCCACGGGAGGCAGCAGUAGGGAAUCUUCCGCUAUGGGCGAAAGCCUGACGGAGCAACGCCGCGUGAGUGAUGAAGGUCUUCGGAUCGUAAAACUCUGUUAUUAGGGAAGAAAAAAUGUGUAAGUAACGAUGCACGUCUUGACGGUACCUAAUCAGAAAGCCACGGCUAACUUCGUG